GGCCACGCCAUGUUGAAACAGCAGUUCUCAUAUGAUCACUAAAGUUAAGUAAUAUUUAGUCUGGUCAGUACCUAGGUGAGUGACCACUUGGGAAUACUAGGUACUGUAAGC
Molecule: non-coding RNA, 111 nt
Organism: Acanthosepion pharaonis
Lineage: Eukaryota; Metazoa; Mollusca; Cephalopoda; Sepiida; Sepiidae
Source: the annotation of a GenBank genome assembly